Molecule: ribosomal RNA, 467 nt
Filed under: uncultured bacterium
Lineage: Bacteria
Description: partial 16S ribosomal RNA
Rfam family: Bacterial small subunit ribosomal RNA
Source: RNAcentral
GACGAACGCUGGCGGCGUGCUUAACACAUGCAAGUCGAACGGAAAGGCCCUGCUUUUGUGGGGUGCUCGAGUGGCGAACGGGUGAGUAACACGUGAGUAACCUGCCCUUGACUUUGGGAUAACUUCAGGAAACUGGGGCUAAUACCGGAUAGGAGCUCCUGCUGCAUGGUGGGGGUUGGAAAGUUUCGGCGGUUGGGGAUGUACUCGCGGCUUAUCAGCUUGUUGGUGGGGUAGUGGCUUACCAAGGCUUUGACGGGUAGCCGGCCUGAGAGGGUGACCGGCCACAUUGGGACUGGGAUACGGCCCAGACUCCAACGGGGGGAAGCAGUGGGGAAUAUUGCACAAGGGGCGGAAGCCUGAUGCAGCAACGCCGGGUGCGGGAGGACGGCCUUCGGGUGGUAAACCGAUUUCGCCUGUGACGAAGCGUGAGGGACGGUAAUGGGUAAAGAAACACCGGCUAACUACGU